UAUCUUCGACAAGGAAACACUACUUAGGCUUUUAAGAUCCUGUUAGGGUUCUAGUUCUUAUACUCAAUCAUACACAUGACCUU
This 83-nucleotide small RNA is filed under the name Arabidopsis thaliana (thale cress). RNAcentral describes it as "ATSL089840". The record is from RNAcentral. Lineage: Eukaryota; Viridiplantae; Streptophyta; Magnoliopsida; Brassicales; Brassicaceae.